UGGGGAAUUUUGGACAAUGGGCGAAAGCCUGAUCCAGCAAUGCCGCGUGUGUGAAGAAGGCCUUCGGGUUGUAAAGCACUUUUGUCCGGAAAGAAAUCCUUGGCUCUAAUACAGUCGGGGGAUGACGGUACCGGAAGAAUAAGCACCGGCUAACUACGUGCCAGCAGCCGCGGUAAUACGUAGGGUGCAAGCGUUAAUCGGAAUUACUGGGCGUAAAGCGUGCGCAGGCGGUUUGCUAAGACCGAUGUGAGAUCCCCGGGCUCAACCUGGGAACUGCAUUGGUGACUGGCAGGCUAGAGUAUGGCAGAGGGGGGUAGAAUUCCACGUGUAGCAGUGAAAUGCGUAGAGAUGUGGAGGAAUACCGAUGGCGAAGGCAGCCCCCUGGGCCAAAUACUGACGCUCAUGCACGAAAAGCGUGGGGAGCAAAACAGGAUUAGAUACCCUGGUAGUCCACGCCCUAAACGAUGUCAACUAGUUGUUGGGGAUUCAUUUCCUUAGUAACGUAGCUAACGCGUGAAGUUGACCGCCUGGGGAGUACGGUCGCAAAGAUUAAAAACUUAAAGGAAUUGACGGGGUCAUAGCUGUUUCCU
Molecule: ribosomal RNA, 590 nt
Filed under: uncultured bacterium
Lineage: Bacteria
Description: partial 16S ribosomal RNA
Rfam family: Bacterial small subunit ribosomal RNA
Source: RNAcentral